UACGUAGGUGGCAAGCGUUGUCCGGAUUUACUGGGUGUAAAGGGCGUGCAGCCGGGAAGACAAGUCAGAUGUGAAAUCCCGCGGCUCAACCGCGGAACUGCAUUUGAAACUGUUUUUCUUGAGUAUCGGAGAGGUAACCGGAAUUCCUAGUGUAGCGGUGAAAUGCGUAGAUAUUAGGAGGAACACCAGUGGCGAAGGCGGGUUACUGGACGACAACUGACGGUGAGGCGCGAAAGCGUGGGGGGCAAACAGG
RNAcentral lists this ribosomal RNA (253 nucleotides) under uncultured bacterium. RNAcentral describes it as "partial 16S ribosomal RNA". It matches the Rfam family "Bacterial small subunit ribosomal RNA", at positions 524 to 776 of the family's 1533-position model. The record is from RNAcentral.